GAACGCUGGCGGCAGCCUAAACAUGCAAGUCGAACGGUAACAGGAUUAGCUUGCUAAUCGCUGACGAGUGGCGGACGGGUGAGUAAUGCUUGGGAACUUGCCUUUGCGAGGGGGAUAACAGUUGGAAACGACUGCUAAUACCGCAUAAUGUCUACGGACCAAACGGGGCUUCGGCUCCGGCGCAAAGAGAGGCCCAAGUGAGAUUAGCUAGUUGGUAAGGUAAAGGCUUACCAAGGCAACGAUCUCUAGCUGUUCUGAGAGGAAGAUCAGCCACACUGGAACUGAGACACGGUCCAGACUCCUACGGGAGGCAGCAGUGGGGGAUAUUGCACAAUGGGGGAAACCCUGAUGCAGCCAUGCCGCGUGUGUGAAGAAGGCCUUCGGGUUGUAAAGCACUUUCAGUUGUGAGGAAAAGUUAGUAGUUAAUACCUGCUAGCCGUGACGUUAACAACAGAAGAAGCACCGGCUAACUCCGUGCCAGCAGCCGCGGUAAUACGGAGGGUGCGAGCGUNAAUCGGAAUUACUGGGCGUAAAGCGCACGCAGGCGGUUUGUUAAGCUAGAUGCGAAAGCCCCGGGCUC
RNAcentral lists this ribosomal RNA (580 nucleotides) under uncultured bacterium. RNAcentral's name for it is "bacterial SSU rRNA". It matches the Rfam family "Bacterial small subunit ribosomal RNA", at positions 31 to 610 of the family's 1533-position model. The record is from RNAcentral.